This 495-nucleotide ribosomal RNA is filed under the name uncultured bacterium. Its description in RNAcentral is "partial 16S ribosomal RNA". It matches the Rfam family "Bacterial small subunit ribosomal RNA", at positions 28 to 507 of the family's 1533-position model. The record is from RNAcentral.
GAUGAACGCUGGCGGCGUGCCUAAUACAUGCAAGUAGAACGCUGAAGGAGGAGCUUGCUCUUCUGGAUGAGUUGCGAACGGGUGAGUAACGCGUAGGUAACCUGCCUGGUAGCGGGGGAUAACUAUUGGAAACGAUAGCUAAUACCGCAUGACAACAGUUAUUGCAUGAUAACUGUUUAAAAGGGGCAACUGCUCCACUACCAGAUGGACCUGCGUUGUAUUAGCUAGUUGGUGAGGUAACGGCUCACCAAGGCGACGAUACAUAGCCGGCCUGAGAGGGUGGUCGGCCAAAACGGGAACGAGACACGGCCCAGAACCCUACGGGAGGGAGGAGUAGGGAAACUUCGGCAAUGGACGGAAGUCUGACCGGGCAACGCCGCGUGAGGGAAGAAGGGUUUCGGAUCGUAAAGCUCUGUUGUAAGGGAAGAACGAGUGUGAGAGUGGAAAGUUCACACUGUGACGGUAUCUUACCAGAAAGGGACGGCUAACUACGUG